UACGUAGGUGGCGAGCGUUGUCCGGAUUUACUGGGCGUAAAGGGAGCGUAGGCGGACUUUUAAGUGAGAUGUGAAAUACUCGGGCUCAACUUGAGUGCUGCAUUUCAAACUGGAAGUCUAGAGUGCAGGAGAGGAGAAUGGAGUUCCUAGUGUAGCGGUGGAAUGCGUAGAGAUUAGGAAGAACACCAGUGGCGAAGGCGAUUCUCUGGACUGUAACUGACGCUGAGGCUCGAAAGCGUGGGGAGCAAACAGG
Molecule: ribosomal RNA, 253 nt
Filed under: uncultured bacterium
Lineage: Bacteria
Description: partial 16S ribosomal RNA
Rfam family: Bacterial small subunit ribosomal RNA
Source: RNAcentral